Acanthosepion pharaonis is the source of this 111-nucleotide non-coding RNA. The record is from the annotation of a GenBank genome assembly. NCBI's taxonomy places the organism in Eukaryota, Metazoa, Mollusca, Cephalopoda, Sepiida, Sepiidae.
UAGCCAUAUCACAUUGAAACACCAGUUCUUCUAUGAUCACCAAAGUUAAGCAACAUCAAGCCUAGUCAGUACUUAGAUGAGUGACCAUUUGGGAAUACCAGGUACCGUCAG